RNAcentral lists this ribosomal RNA (485 nucleotides) under uncultured bacterium. Its description in RNAcentral is "partial 16S ribosomal RNA". It matches the Rfam family "Bacterial small subunit ribosomal RNA", at positions 30 to 506 of the family's 1533-position model. The record is from RNAcentral.
AUUGAACGCUGGCGACAUGCCUUACACAUGCAAGUCGAACGGCAGCACGGGUGCUUGCACCUGGUGGCGAGUGGCGAACGGGUGAGUAAUACAUCGGAACAUGUCCUGUAGUGGGGGAUAGCCCGGCGAAAGCCGGAUUAAUACCGCGUACGAUCUACGGAUGAAAGCGGGGGACCUUCGGGCCUCGCGCUAUAGGGUUGGCCGAUGGCUGAUUAGCUAGUUGGUGGGGUAAAGGCCUACCAAGGCGACGAUCAGUAGCUGGUCUGAGAGGACGACCAGUCACACUGGGACUGAGACACGGCCCAGACUCCUACGGGAGGCAGCAGUGGGGAAUUUUGGACAAUGGGCGAAAGCCUGAUCCAGCAAUGCCGCGUGUGUGAAGAAGGCCUUCGGGUUGUAAAGCACUUUUGUCCGGAAAGAAAUCCUUGGCCCUAAUACGGUCGGGGGAUGACGGUACCGGAAGAAUAAGCACCGGCUAACUACGU